Non-coding RNA from Ovis aries (sheep), 73 nucleotides. The record is from Rfam. Lineage: Eukaryota; Metazoa; Chordata; Mammalia; Artiodactyla; Bovidae.
UCCCUGAUAUCUUAGUUAGUAAAGAAUCUGCCUGCAAUACAGGAGACUCCAGUUCAAUUUCUGGGUCAGGAAG